UGUGGCGGGAGUAUUCAGUCGGAGCGUCUUCGGCGCCGUGUCGGAAGAGUGGAAGCGAAGGUUCCCGUGACGGGGCCGUUCCGACUCGCGAUCCGGGGCGAACCGACGCAUUUGUUUCCCGCCCGAAGGACGCCGCAACCGGUUGGGGGACGGCCUUAAGGGCGAGAGCCGGCAGGUGGCCGGUGGCUGCGCUUGUCGCGGUCGCCGGUUGUUAGCCUUCUCGUCGCACGGCCCGUUCCCCGACCGUGGCAAUAGAGAGGCCUCGUUGGGUUUCGUCGUCUCCUCCUUCACUGGUGGCGGGUGAAUAAGCGCGGCAGGAGUUCCGGUCGGCGGUGGGCGCACGGACAUACUCCGUGGCCAGGCCCCGCCCGGUCUCUGCUGGCUGCGCAAGGCCCGCGGGAGUGUGUGACGGUUGGCGGCGAGUAGAUCGGUCACCCACCCGACCCGUCUUGAAACACGGACCAAGGAGUAU
Molecule: ribosomal RNA, 472 nt
Filed under: Drapetisca socialis
Lineage: Eukaryota; Metazoa; Arthropoda; Arachnida; Araneae; Linyphiidae
Description: eukaryotic LSU rRNA
Source: RNAcentral